GUCAACUAUGAUAUGAAAUAAAUUUAAUAUGCAUUGAUGUCUUACAGAAUCACUUUUAUGAGUUAAAUACCAUGCAAAUUACUAAAGAAUUCUGUGUAUCUGUGGAUGAUUCAAAUGAAAAUAUUUGUUUACCUGUGAAAGGAAAAUAUGUAUCACAUAAAAUAUAAAGAUUUAAUGUUAUAAACAUUGUAUGUAUAAUCAAUAUAUUUUGCCCAUCACACUUUUAUUACAAAAUCAGAAUUUAUAAACCAUAUUCAUUUCCUUAAAAAAUGGCUUUAAAAAGCACCUGGAAAUUUUUUAGGCACAAGAUUUAUUUUAAAAACAUACAAUUUGUUCCUAAUCUGCAGAAAGAAGUUUCGUAAGAUUACUAAUCACUAGGAUUUGCUUUUUCUGUAGCAGCCACAGGAGAGGACGAUACAAUAGGUCUUCGGAAAAGGUCAGGCGGGACCCACUGUGUACUUGUUCUUUCUUUCAUUUUCAAGCUUCUCUCCCUUCCUAUGCCUUUGGAGUAACUUCUGCUCACCAGUGAAUAUAUUUUGUUCCAUGGGAUUUAUGAAAUUUCUAACCUUUCUUUGUGUUCUGCACUGCCUUGUCCAUUUCAUCAUCACCUUCCUGUCAUUUACCACCUUGAAGCAGAUUCUUUACUAUUGAGCCACCAGGGAAACCAUAAAUAAACAAAAAAACAACUUAGCUCAGCAAAGCACAUUAUAGCAAAGUGAUCUGUUAUUAUAUAGCGUGACUAAAAAUGGGCAAUCAUGAAAAACAUUCUUUUAAAAUAUAAAUUAUUAUUUGAAUGCUUACAGCCUUUAAACUUUCAAAGAAAUUAUCUUCAGUUAUACCAUGUACAGUUGAUAUGAGGAGUUCAAGAAAUAGUAAUGGAUAUAGAGACUUCACACAAUGUAUUGUUUUUCAGUCACUAAGUCCCUACUCUUUGCAGCCCCCUGGACCGCAGCACACCAGGCCUCCUUGUUCAUCACCAACUCCCGGAGUUCACUCAAACUCAUGUCCAUUGAGUCGGUGAUGCCAUCCAGCCAUCUCAUCCUCUGCCGUCCCCUUCUCCUGCCUUCAAUCUUUCCCAACAUCAGGGUCUUUUCCAAUGAAUCAGCUCUUCGUACCACACAGUGUAUACAGCACAAGGUCAUUCUGAUAUGCAACCAGGCAAGACAGCCAUGUCUCCAAACCCAUUUUCUACUGGUCCAAGGCUAUGCACAUAGCCAAAUAUGGGAAUUUCUGCUAAUGUUUUCUGGAAAAGCUUCACUUUCAUGA
This 1266-nucleotide long non-coding RNA is filed under the name Bos indicus x Bos taurus (hybrid cattle). RNAcentral describes it as "lncRNA (ENSBIXG00005020513.1)". The record is from RNAcentral. Lineage: Eukaryota; Metazoa; Chordata; Mammalia; Artiodactyla; Bovidae.